This 21-nucleotide non-coding RNA is filed under the name Arabidopsis thaliana (thale cress). Lineage: Eukaryota; Viridiplantae; Streptophyta; Magnoliopsida; Brassicales; Brassicaceae. The record is from RNAcentral.
UUCCACCUACGAAGACCGUCA